CCUUGAGAUCGGAGUGCUUGCACUCUGUGAAACAAGAUACAGGCUAGCGGCGGACGGGUGAGUAACACGUGGGUAACCUGCCCAAGAGAUCGGGAUAACACCUGGAAACAGAUGCUAAUACCGGAUAACAACAGAUGAUGCCUAUCAACUGUUUAAAAGAUGGUUCUGCUAUCACUCUUGGAUGGACCUGCGGUGCAUUAGCUAGUUGGUAGGGUAACGGCCUACCAAGGCGAUGAUGCAUAGCCGAGUUGAGAGACUGAUCGGCCACAUUGGGACUGAGACACGGCCCAAACUCCUACGGGAGGCAGCAGUAGGGAAUCUUCCACAAUGGACGCAAGUCUGAUGGAGCAACGCCGCGUGAGUGAAGAAGGGUUUCGGCUCGUAAAGCUCUGUUGUUGGUGAAGAAGGACAGGGGUAGUAACUGACCUUUGUUUGACGGUAAUCAAUUAGAAAGUCACGGCUAACUACGUGCCAGCAGCCGUGGUAAUACGUAGGUGGCAAGCGUUGUCCGGAUUUAUUGGGCGUAAAGCGAGUGCAGGCGGCUCGAUAAGUCUGAUGUGAAAGCCUUCGGCUCAACCGGAGAAUUGCAUCAGAAACUGUCGAGCUUGAGUACAGAAGAGGAGAGUGGAACUCCAUGUGUAGCGGUGAAAUGCGUAGAUAUAUGGAAGAACACCGGUGGCGAAGGCGGCUCUCUGGUCUGUUACUGACGCUGAGGCUCGAAAGCAUGGGUAGCGAACAGGAUUAGAUACCCUGGUAGUCCAUGCCGUAAACGAUGAGUGCUAAGUGUUGGGAGGUUUCCGCCUCUCAGUGCUGCAGCUAACGCAUUA
RNAcentral lists this ribosomal RNA (827 nucleotides) under uncultured bacterium. RNAcentral describes it as "bacterial SSU rRNA". It matches the Rfam family "Bacterial small subunit ribosomal RNA", at positions 62 to 862 of the family's 1533-position model. The record is from RNAcentral.